Helianthus annuus (common sunflower) is the source of this 816-nucleotide long non-coding RNA. RefSeq lists it as uncharacterized. The record is from RefSeq and is a predicted model, not a curated record. Lineage: Eukaryota; Viridiplantae; Streptophyta; Magnoliopsida; Asterales; Asteraceae. The transcript is spliced from 6 exons.
CUUAUUUUUGGAAUUAAAAACAAAGAGAAAGAAGAGCGAGGUUGUAAAGACUCAGACAACGUUAGGGAAAGCCCUGGUGCAUUCGAUAGUUUGUACAGCGAACUACCAGAAAUCUUGUUUAUUCAAAGAUGUGAACUUCUAUGUCCUGAUAGACAAGGUGCUCCUACGGUUAGGGGUAUAGGCUGUGUUUAUCCUACUACUGAGAGAAUUAUGCAUAAUUGCCUGAUGAUAGAUGGUUUUGUCAAAGUUCAAGUAGAUAGAGUUGAAGAAGGUUGCGGAUUGAAUCGUCUCUUGCCUGAUUCAUGUAGUAGACUGUUUGGAAGAUGCAAAAGAAUGCUUUAUUUACUGGUCUGUUAAAUCAAUAAAGAGUUUAAACAAAGAUUCUCCUCAAAGUGUAGAACCAUCUCACCAUUCUAUGGAUGAAAGAAUCGGGUAUCAAAUAUACUCGUAUGCAUUACAAGAGGAGGAGGCUUUUAAUUGAUUGCUGGAAAAUAAAACCUCAAUGGUUCGUCAAAGUGAAAUUGACGAGUUUGUAGAGUGUACUUUAAAGGCGUCUAUUUCAGUUUUGGUGGCGGGAAGGACGACAAGGAUGAAUGGAGUGGCAAAGGAAUUUAAGCCAGUGAGUGCUGUUGAGAGCUUUGUGGUUAUUGGGGUGGAUAAAGGAGGUUGCACAAAGUCAAGGAGUUUUUUGGAUGGUUGAUUUUAUUUGUGCUAAACUGAAUGAUAGGAUGUUUUUUCUAUGUUAAAUUGAAUGUUUUAGACUAAUGGGUUAACAUGGAUGCUUUAGCUAUUUAUAACAUGGUUCAUUGUUUGUUA